UCAACAAGACUCUUCUCUAAUUCAACAUUCCAUGCAGCUCUCUCAACACCACCUACAAUUAAAAAUUAAGGCACAUCUAAUCAUAUAAAUGUCAACCAUGAACAAAUCAUGUAAAAGCUUUUAUCAAAUAAAUUUGACAUUAUUACCGCCACAUUUCUUUGAUUUUGCAGCUUUAGGAGAAGCCUUCUUUUGAGCAGCUUUAGAUAAAGCUAUUAUCUUAGGAGAACCUCUAAACAUCUUAUCUACAACAUAAAAAUAACACAUUUAUUCAGCAUAGAAGUAUUCACUAAUUUAUGCGUUGUUGGUAGUCAGACCACAUAUGAUAUGCUAUUGUAUCUCUUAAGUUAUUCCCUUCUAAAUUUCCUUCAUCAUUUCCUUGGUCUCCAUCAUGUAGGUUGAUAAAAGUUUAUGGAUUGAUAUUUCCUUGAUCAUUCUCUAGCCACCUCUCAUCACCAUUUAGUGACCGAAUCAAGUUAUGAAAGACUGCAGUAGCUAAAGGUAUUUUGGCUUGGUUUUCUAUUUUGUGAAAGGUAGCAACUUUGAGGAUUGGAAAUCUCUUCUUUAUGACACCCAAAGCCCUCUCUACAUGAUUUCUUAAAAUGGCAUGGCGAUGAUUAUAUAACUCCUUAUGAUUUUGAGGUCUUCGGUGGCCACGACCAAACUCUUUCAAGUGGUACCUAACCCCACGAUAAGGCGCAAGAAAGGAAGCUGUAUUGGCAUAACCACCAUCUACUAGGUAGAACUUUCUGGAAGGUACUUCAACCUUUCCUAUAGAAUUGGUCAUUGCAGAUCUGAGAACCAUUGAAUCUGUUGCUGAUCCUUCCCAUCCAGCUGACAAAUAAGUGACUCUGAGAUCAAAAUCACAAACGAACAUCACAUUUUGACUAAGUGUCCCUUUUCUAUUCCUGAAUGGUGCAGCUUGAUUAGGUGACAUCGAUAUUGGAACGUGGGUUCCAUCUAUUGAACCCAGACAAUUCUGCAAAAAAGUAAAAAAAGAAAUGAUCUUCUAAGAUCAUUUAAGGUUGAGUACCUUGUAAGAUUGACACAUAAGAGUUAAAAGAAAUCACCUUAAAGUAAGGGUAAAAUCGGUUAUCUUCACGAACUUUUGCAUGUACUUGAUUGGAGGGAGGUUUUAGGAACCGCAUGCUGAGGGCAAGGAUAACUAUGUCAAAGAAAUGUUUGAUCACACGAUGGAAUGUAUCAUUGCUGUGACCAAAGAAUACUUGGAGAUCCUCAAAUGAUGCAUUGUGACUAAUCAUAUAUAAAAAGAAACCACGCUUCUCCUCGACCUUGAUUCUAGUGUCUUUAACCAACGCUUUGCAUCUAAGAUAAUUGACCAAGGCUUUAAAGAUGUAAGGUUCCAUCCUAAAUGAUGUCCUACAAUUCUUGAUGUGGCCUUCAAGUAGCUCCCUAACCUUUUUCUCUCCAGUUAGCGUUGAUGUAUGUCGCAACUUUUUUUCACUAUCUCCAAUAUAGCCCAAGAGAUGUAGAGUAGGGAGAAUUAAAAGCAUGAUGUCGUCAUCAUCAUCAUCCCUCCUUUUUCUAAUGCGAUCUCUAGUACUCAUAUCCAUUGUAAAACUAUAAGAAAUAUGAAGGAACACAAGGAAAUCAAGUUAACAAAAAUAGUUACACACUUCAUAUAAUUUUAAGACUAUAAAUUUUACACACAGCACCUUGAAAAAUGGAUUAGACACCGGAUCUCAAGAGGGGGAAAGCUCGUCCUCGCGACUCUCACAAGAGUAGGGACAAUCUGAAAA
Molecule: long non-coding RNA, 1757 nt
Filed under: Zea mays
Lineage: Eukaryota; Viridiplantae; Streptophyta; Magnoliopsida; Poales; Poaceae
Description: long non-coding RNA (ZMAY_LNC001537)
Source: RNAcentral